GACGAACGCUGGCGGCGUGCUUAACACAUGCAAGUCGAACGGAAAGGCCCUGCUUUUGUGGGGUGCUCGAGUGGCGAACGGGUGAGUAACACGUGAGUAACCUGCCCUUGACUUUGGGAUAACUUCAGGAAACUGGGGCUAAUACCGGAUAGGAGCUCCUGCUGCAUGGUGGGGGUUGGAAAGUUUCGGCGGUGGGGGAUGGACUCGCGGGUUAUCCGCUUGUUGGGGGGGUAGUGGCUUACAAAGGCUUUGACGGGUAGGCGGCCUGGGAGGGUGGCCGGCGACAAUGGGCCUGAGGUACGGAGCAGACGGCUACGGGAGGCAGCAGGGGGGAAUAUUGCACAAUGGGCGGAAGCGUGAUGCAGCAACGCCGCGUGCGGGAUGACGGCCUUCGGGGUGUAAACCGCUGUCGCCUGUGACGAAGCGGGAGUGACGGUAAUGGGUAAAGAAGCACCGGCUAACUACGUG
RNAcentral lists this ribosomal RNA (468 nucleotides) under uncultured bacterium. RNAcentral describes it as "partial 16S ribosomal RNA". It matches the Rfam family "Bacterial small subunit ribosomal RNA", at positions 28 to 507 of the family's 1533-position model. The record is from RNAcentral.